AAACUUCACAAUGGAGGCAACUCCGAUGAGGGAAUUCCAAGUGCUAGCACAUUAGUGUUAGCUUUUCUUAAGCAUAGAUAACUUAAGGAAUAAGGGCUGGGUAAGACGGGCGCCAGCCGCCGCGGUAAUACCCGCAGCCCAAGUGGUGGUCGAUUUUAUUGAGUCUAAAACGUUCGUAGCCGGUUCAUUAAAUCCUUGGGUAAAUCGGAUGGCUUAACUACCCGAAUUCCGGGGAGACUGGUGAACUUGGGACCGGGAGAGGCAAGAGGUACUUUUGGGGUAGGGGUAAAUCCUGUAAUCCUAAAAGGACCACCGGUGGCGAAGGCGUCUUGCUAGAACGGAUCCGACGGUGAGGGACGAAGCCCUGGGUCGCAAACGGGAUUAGAUACCCCGGCAGUCCAGGGUGUAAACGCUGCAGACUUGGUGUUGGGGACCCUUUGGGGUGUUCAGUGCCGGAGAGAAGUUGUUAAGUCUGCUACUUGGGGAGUACGUCCGCAAGGAUGAAACUUAAAGGAAUU
This 518-nucleotide ribosomal RNA is filed under the name uncultured bacterium. RNAcentral describes it as "bacterial SSU rRNA". It matches the Rfam family "Archaeal small subunit ribosomal RNA", at positions 345 to 866 of the family's 1478-position model. The record is from RNAcentral.